CCACACUGAGCCAUGAACUCUUUGUGAUGCUGUUAACAUUCAUGCUGUAGUUGAUAGACACAACUUGGUACAGAUGGCGGAGUUGGUGUUUUAAAGCUUGUCUACUGUAAUGGCUAAAAGUAAGAAGAACCCGUAUUACCUUAACACUUUGUGAUGAUGGUUGCCUAGCAAUAAAGCUUCCUCUGAUAUAGGACCCUGCCAUGCAAAUGGCCAGGGCGCAUGUGCGGAGGCUUCCAAAAUGGCCACUACCAGGAAAAGGGCCAGAACAGACCAAAAAUGGGCCGAAACGGCCCUUUGAAGACUGGUUGGAGGCCAAUGGGGAAAGGGGGAAAUGGUGGAGACCCCCUCCCAUGGCUGUGGAGGCACCACCCAAGGCGGCCAGACCUGCAGUUGCCUAUCACUGCUUUAGAGCAUAGGAGAGUUUGAGAUAUUGGCUCUCCAGUCUGACAUGGAUCAUACCAAUGCUUCAGGAAGCCAUAGACGUCAUCUGUAUUGUUUGCUCUCAUUGUUUACUCUACUCUACCAGAGGCAUCUAUCAAUCAGACUGUGUCCUAAUGAGGGCCUUGUCCUCAUUGUCUUCAGUGGGACAGAUUAUUCACUUGGAAGUGUCUCCGUAUAAAAGGUGGAACAUCUCAGGUCUUUGGAAGGAAGGAAGGAAGGAAGGAAGGAAGGAAGGAAGGAAAAGAAAUUUUCAUACAAGUAGCCAUUUCUCACUGUGAAGAUUUGCACAUAGCUAUGAUGUCGCCUGGUGAGUCUGGAGGGUGGAACCUGUUGAGUAUUUCACGGGCAGCUCAAAAGAGUAAUGAGAAGACAAGUGAUGUUCCAUGGCAGGUGGAUACCAUACAGUCUGGCCUUAUUUAAUCACCACACAAA
Long non-coding RNA from Hemicordylus capensis (graceful crag lizard), 873 nucleotides. RefSeq lists it as uncharacterized. The record is from RefSeq and is a predicted model, not a curated record. The transcript is spliced from 6 exons. NCBI's taxonomy places the organism in Eukaryota, Metazoa, Chordata, Lepidosauria, Squamata, Cordylidae.